This is an RNA transcript of Cervus elaphus (red deer), 2016 nucleotides long. It is a transcript of the gene named histone deacetylase 1-like, with no coding region annotated. The record is from RefSeq and is a predicted model, not a curated record. The transcript has a single exon. NCBI's taxonomy places the organism in Eukaryota, Metazoa, Chordata, Mammalia, Artiodactyla, Cervidae.
CCGACUGAUGGGAGGGACGGGAGGCGAGCAAGAUGGCGCAGACUCAGGGCACCGAGAGGAAAGUCUGUUACUAUUACGACGGGGAUGUUGGAAAUUACUAUUAUGGACAAGGCCACCCAAUGAAGCCUCACUGAAUCCACAUGACUCACAAUUUACUCCUUAACUAUGGUCUCUACCGGAAGAUGGAAAUCUAUCGCCCUCACAAAGCCAAUGCUGAGGAGAUGACCAAGUACCACAGUGAUGACUACAUUAAAUUCUUACGCUCCAUCCGCCCAGAUAACGUCUGAGUACAGCAAGCAGAUGCAGAGAUUCAAUGUUGGUGAGGACUGUCCAGUAUUUGAUGGCCUGUUUGAGUUCUGUCAGCUGUCCACUGGUGGCUCUGUGGCAAGUGCCGUGAAACUUAAUAAGCAGCAGACGGACAUUGCUGUGAAUUGGGCUGGGGGCCUACACCAUGCAACGAAGUCCGAGGCAUCUGGCUUCUGUUACGUCAAUGAUAUCGUCUUGGCCAUCCUGGAACUGCUAAAGUAUCACCAGAGGGUGCUGUAUAUUGACAUUGAUAUUCACCACGGCGAUGGCGUGGAAGAGGCCUUCUAUACCACAGACCGAGUCAUGACUGUGUCCUUUCAUAAAUAUGGAGAGUACUUCCCAGGAACUGGGGACCUACGGGAUAUUGGAGCUGGCAAAGGCAAGUAUUAUGCUGUUAACUACCCUCUCCGAGAUGGGAUUGACGAUGAGUCCCAUGAGGCCAUUUUCAAGCCGGUCAUGUCCAAAGUAAUGGAGAUGUUCCAGCCCAGUGCAGUUGUCUUGCAGUGUGGCUCUGACUCCCUGUCCGGGGAUUGGUUAGGCUGCUUCAAUUUGACCAUCAAAGGGCAUGCCAAGUGUGUGGAAUUUGUGAAGAGCUUCAACCUGCCUAUGCUGAUGCUGGGAGGAGGUGGCUAUACCAUCCGUAAUGUCGCCCGAUGCUGAACAUAUGAAAGAGCUGUGGCCCUGGACACGGAGAUCCCUAAUGAGUUUCCAUACAACGACUACUUCAAAUACUCUGGACCAGAUUUCAAACUUCAUAUCAGUCCUUCCAAUAUGACUAACCAGAACACUAAUGAGUACCUGGAAAAGAUCAAACAGCGACUGUUUGAGAACCUGAGAAUGCUGCCCCACGCACCUGGGGUCCAAAUGCAGGCCAUCCCCGAGGACGCCAUUCCAGAGGAGAGUGGCGAUGAGGAUGAAGAAGACCCUGACAAGCGCAUCUCAGUCUGUUCCUCGGACAAACGAAUUGCCUCUGAGGAAGAGUUCUCCGACUCUGAUGAGGAGGGAGAAGGCGGGCGCAAGAACUCUUCCAACUUCAAGAAAGCCAAGAGAGUCAAAACAGAAGAUGAAAAGGAGAAAGAUCCAGAAGAGAAGAAAGAAGUCACAGAAGAGGAGAAAACCAAGGAAGAGAAGCAAGAAGCCAAAGGGGUCAAGGAAGAGGUCAAGUUGGCCUGAAGAGACCUCUCCAGUUCUGGCUUCUUGCCAAAUCCCGACCUUUAUCCCACAACCCUUCAGAUUUUAUAUUUUCUAUUUCUCUGUGUAUUUAUAUAAAAAUAUAUUAAAUAUAAAUAUCCCCAGGGACUAGAAAGGAACCAGGGCCCUGAGGUCAGGGCACACAUUGGGUGAGCUUUUCUAGUAGCUGCCUCGCAACCCAUCCCUCCCAAACUCUUGAACCCUAAUGGGUACUGGGUGAAAGGGAUCCGCUUAAGCAGCCAUAGGACAAAAUCUUGAAGUGCCUGCUUCGUAGCUUUGAAAAGGUGCCCUUACUGAGCAUUUGAGAAGGGGUAGCUGGGUCUUCAGGGUCUUCCUGUUGUUUUUAGGCUCUUAAGGUAACAUUGGCCAGUUUUAGAUUGGUUCUGUUCUCAUGCCUGCCCUCUCUGUCUUCCCCCAAUUCUGCAGGUGAAGAUUGGUAGUCUAGUUUCCUUUUUGAGAUACUAUAUUCAUUUUUGUGAGAAUCUUUGUAAUAAAAUGGUACAUUUCUAUAAAAAAAAA